Long non-coding RNA from Ornithodoros turicata, 407 nucleotides. RefSeq lists it as uncharacterized. The transcript is spliced from 3 exons. The record is from RefSeq and is a predicted model, not a curated record. NCBI's taxonomy places the organism in Eukaryota, Metazoa, Arthropoda, Arachnida, Ixodida, Argasidae.
UCAACGCGAACAGCACCAGUACAACUUGAAUUUUGUGAAGAGUUAGGAGCAUAUGCCUUGUACGUAACGGAUUCUCCAUCGGGGGCCAAUGUCUAUGACCCAAAUGCAGGCAUAAAGGGCUAUACCGCUUAGCAUCGGUCAUUCAUUGCUGCGUGCGUCUCAGCGUCUCACAGAGAGUGUGGAGUGUUUUCUCUAUGAGCAGUCUUGGAAUUAUUUACUGUCUUAUGCGUUACAGUGUGCCUCGGUGGCAGAACUUGGCCAAUGAGUUACAGAGGCCGGAAGACACAGAAAGGAACAAUAUCAAGACACCGGUAGCCAUUCACAAGACGUGAAGGAGCGUGAGGAUACAGUUGCGUCGGUUUCAUGCAAGAUGCCAACUAAUUAUACGGCGAGUAACAUGGAUGUUU